RNAcentral lists this ribosomal RNA (491 nucleotides) under uncultured bacterium. RNAcentral describes it as "bacterial SSU rRNA". It matches the Rfam family "Bacterial small subunit ribosomal RNA", at positions 414 to 916 of the family's 1533-position model. The record is from RNAcentral.
GCCUUCGGGUUGUAAACCUCUUUCAGCAGGGAAGAAGCGAAAGUGACGGUACCUGCAGAAGAAGCACCGGCUAACUACGUGCCAGCAGCCGCGGUAAUACGUAGGGUGCAAGCGUUGUCCGGAUUUAUUGGGCGUAAAGAGCUCGUAGGCGGUUAGUCACGUCGGAUGUGAAAUCCCGGAGCUUAACUCCGGGCCUGCAUUCGAUACGGGCUGACUCGAGUGUUGUAGGGGAGACUGGAACUCCUGGUGUAGCGGUGAAAUGCGCAGAUAUCAGGAAGAACACCGGUGGCGAAGGCGGGUCUCUGGGCAACUACUGACGCUGAGGAGCGAAAGCGUGGGGAGCAAACAGGAUUAGAUACCCUGGUAGUCCACGCCGUAAACGGUGGGCGCUAGGUGUGGGGACCUUCCACGUUCUCUGCGCCGCAGCUAACGCAUUAAGCGCCCCGCCUGGGGAGUACGGCCGCAAGGCUAAAACUCAAAGGAAUUGACGG